Molecule: ribosomal RNA, 488 nt
Filed under: uncultured bacterium
Lineage: Bacteria
Description: bacterial SSU rRNA
Rfam family: Bacterial small subunit ribosomal RNA
Source: RNAcentral
AUUGAACGCUGGCGGCAUGCUUUACACAUGCAAGUCGAACGGUAACAGGUCUUUCGGGAUGCUGACGAGUGGCGAACGGGUGAGUAAUGUAUCGGAACGUGCCCAGUAGUGGGGGAUAACUACUCGAAAGAGUGGCUAAUACCGCAUGAGAUCUCUGGAUGAAAGCGGGGGACCGUAAGGCCUCGCGCUACUGGAGCGGCCGAUAUCAGAUUAGGUUGUUGGUGAGGUAAAGGCUCACCAAGCCGACGAUCUGUAGCUGGUCUGAGAGGACGACCAGCCACACUGGGACUGAGACACGGCCCAGACUCCUACGGGAGGCAGCAGUGGGGAAUAUUGCGCAAUGGGGGAAACCCUGACGCAGCCACGCCGCGUGGGUGAUGAAGGCCUCGGUUGUAAGACUCUGUGGGAGGAAAGAAGUAAGGUAGGUUAAGUAAUCCUGCCUGAUGACGGUACCUCCUUAGCAAGCACCGGCUAACUCUGUGCCAGCA